AUUGAACGCUGGCGGCAGGCCUAACACAUGCAAGUCGAACGGUAACAGGAAGAAGCUUGCUUCUUUGCUGACGAGUGGCGGACGGGUGAGUAAUGUCUGGGAAACUGCCUGAUGGAGGGGGAUAACUACUGGAAACGGUAGCUAAUACCGCAUAACGUCGCAAGACCAAAGAGGGGGACCUUCGGGCCUCUUGCCAUCGGAUGUGCCCAGAUGGGAUUAGCUAGUAGGUGGGGUAACGGCUCACCUAGGCGACGAUCCCUAGCUGGUCUGCGAGGAUGACCAGCCACACUGGAACUGAGACACGGUCCAGACUCCUACGGGAGGCAGCAGUGGGGAAUAUUGCACAAUGGGCGCAAGCCUGAUGCAGCCAUGCCGCGUGUAUGAAGAAGGCCUUCGGGUUGUAAAGUACUUUCAGCGGGGAGGAAGGGAGUAAAGUUAAUACCUUUGCUCAUUGACGUUACCCGCAGAAGAAGCACCGGCUAACUCCGUG
Molecule: ribosomal RNA, 490 nt
Filed under: uncultured bacterium
Lineage: Bacteria
Description: partial 16S ribosomal RNA
Rfam family: Bacterial small subunit ribosomal RNA
Source: RNAcentral